GAGUGAGGGAGGGAGAAAUAAAUGAAACGAGGAUGGGGGAGCUCGCCUGUUUCGAUCGAGGAUUGCUGGCGGUCGCGAGCACGGUGAGUAAUCUGGCAGCAUGAGAGAUGUGAUCUGCUUUUGAUGGCGCUCGAUCGAUUCGCAUAGAUCUCUUUCUCCCUUAACGCGGCUCACCAAACAGCGGCCGCGGCAGCUUUCCUGAAAAUCACGUAGUCAGUUCGGUCAGUUGAGUCGUGGUACUGGGAGUUUUUUCUAUCUAGAAAAAUACGAGGUGAAAGGAACGGAGGAAAGUGAGAGCACUAAAAACUCUGGUUUGCUUACUUGACGCUUUGUUCUUUGUUGGCACUGUUGCUGUUGAUGUUGUCGAUUUUAAGAUCAUCGGUCAGGCGGGCCUGCGGAUCAAAAUGGUUUUUUUCUUUUCGUUUUCCUGAAGCAAAAAAGUAAAAAGAGUGCUUGAUCGAAGCAAAAGCUACUGCAAACUGCGCUACAAUUGGCCUACCUCAAGGAACGACAAAUAGACCAGCAGUUAAGUCGUGGUACUGAACAGCUCAAUCGUUGCGUUUAUGUGCUGCGACCUUGUAGAGAGAAAAAAAGGAAACAGUGUCACAUUCAAAGGAAAGAAAAAA
This 626-nucleotide long non-coding RNA is filed under the name Selaginella moellendorffii. RNAcentral describes it as "long non-coding RNA (SMOE_LNC000725)". The record is from RNAcentral. Lineage: Eukaryota; Viridiplantae; Streptophyta; Lycopodiopsida; Selaginellales; Selaginellaceae.